This 264-nucleotide long non-coding RNA is filed under the name Prunus persica (peach). Its description in RNAcentral is "long non-coding RNA (PPER_LNC002660)". Lineage: Eukaryota; Viridiplantae; Streptophyta; Magnoliopsida; Rosales; Rosaceae. The record is from RNAcentral.
UAAAAUUUCGUUUUGCUUUUAGAUUUGGAUUUUGGCUGCCUAAACCCCUUUUGCUUUUGUUUUUGGCAAUACUAAGCGUAAAACCCUUUGUUAUAAUCAACUGUAAUAACAAAAAGUUCGUCGCCAAGUAGACACCGCCAAGCGGGAUUAGUUGGUUGAUGUCUCGUUUCCUAGGAGUUUUCGAUUAACCCAGCAAAUUGUUCGGCGCACGUCUCACUUUCAUUCUUAUAUAGAAUGGCAUAAUUUUUAUUUUUUUUAUUUUUU